Poecilia reticulata (guppy) is the source of this 2370-nucleotide non-coding RNA. Lineage: Eukaryota; Metazoa; Chordata; Actinopteri; Cyprinodontiformes; Poeciliidae. The record is from RefSeq and is a predicted model, not a curated record.
AAGUUUCACUGAGUUAACGCGGCUAUGGAUGAAUGUAAAAUAUUAGUCUUUUUGCCCCCCAGCGUUGUGCGCAUGCGGGAAAUUUCCGUAGGUCCAACAAGAUGGAUGGUGUCUAAGCCAUAAGUCAGUGGCCUCACCAGCAAUGAACCUCACCACACGUCACUGUUUAAAACAAUAUAUAAGUGGCAAACUGUGUCCAAACACUUUGCAUUGCAAACUACAUUUUCAUGUUGACUUCUAUGUCUGCACAUGGACAGCCACACUAAACUUACAGAGGUUGAUAUCUUUGUCUUUAACAGUGACUGUAAAAGCAAAGAACAUGGGGAACCUAAACCUUUAAUGUAUUGGAUUCACUCCAUGCUGUUGUCUUAUCUUUAUUGCAAUCUAAUGUAAAACAGUCCUGGUGGUUUGUGUCCUGAAUAAUCUACAAUAUGGCUGGACUUCUGUCACCUGGCUGCUCUUGUUGCUCAUGUUUGUUAUUUUUGUCAGUUUAGUUGCUGGGCUGGAAAGAAUUUUCUUGAACCAUUCUUGACAGAGUGGGAGGAAUGUGUAUGGAAGUUCAGUGGCAGUUGUGUUUUUCUCUCCAAAUCCAGAAUAAACCCAGCAAGUACAAAUGAGCAAGUUAUGAAUAGUUCUUAUCUCACUUUCUGGGUAAAUAUCUCUGGUUUGACUUGAACCACAGUUGAUGAAUAGAUUGUGUAAAUGGAUGUGAACUUGCUUUCAAUGAAAGCCAUUACAGCCAUUAGGAGCUUAAAUAGGGCCUACUGUAAACUGUAGUUUCUUUUAUUUGGACUACUACAUUCCAGGAAAGUUAACAUCUGGAUUUAAACAUACAUCUUCAGAUGUCCAUUGGUUUCAUUAGCACUGUUGUGAAAUGUUAGAAACAUUUUUGUACUUUUUGACUGGUACCUUUGUUUUCUUAUUAGUCCACAAGGCUCGAGGCUAGUCUGGCACUGGUGGCACUGGUGGCACUGGUGCACCAGCAUAAAAGUGCACCCAAAUUCUCAACAUCACAUGAUAGUUUUACAAGAUAAUUUUUUUAAUCACUAUUCAUAAAGAUGAUGUUGACUUGUAAAUGUUUAUUUACCAUCUAAUAAACAUAAAGUUCUUCAUUUGAAGCUGAAAUGUACAAGACAUGUAACUAAGCCUUUGAAGCUGCAAUACGUAAUUUAAAACAACCAAAAAACAUUUUUUUAAUAUAUAUUCCUGAAAAUUUUAACUAUGUUUUGACAGUAUAUGAUGGAACAGAUAAUCUGUGAAAACAUGGAACUCCUUUGCCCCCUCCCUGUAGUCCUACUGCCAUUUGCUGAAAUACACAGACAGCAGAUCAGAGACAGGAGGAGGGUUUUAGUGUCGUCAAUCACUCUUGUGUAUGUUGUAAUUAUAGGGAGACCACUUACCGUUAUGGGAAAAUGUUAUCUUUAGUCUUUGGUGAACAUGCUAACUAGCCUGAACAUUGACAGCAGGCUCCAGUGUGAGGAAGGAACUGUAGCCUAGCAGAGAGUACUGACCCUUUUCCACCUGCUCUACUGCAGCAGCCCGGUUCAGCUCAGCUCUACUUCGGAGAGAACGUGUUUCCACCGGCGGCUCGGCUCUGCAGCAGGGCGAUGCCUCCUGACAGUUGGGGUAGCGCCCCGCCUCCAGGCGCCAUGUGCUGCGCUUCGUUACUAUGUGACCUAACAGGAGUUGUUGUUUUUCUGAGACAAAAGAAGAAGAGAGAACUGAGCUAUUGUUUUUAUAGCCUGAUUGGGAUUUUUCUGAGAUUUCAAGAAAAUGCGCGGUGGGAGGAAUGCUGCGAUUGUGUCAAGGAGGACGGCUGAUCUUCACCUUGCAGGGGGAGGAAAGCAGGUGACUCAGACGGUGCAGAUGUUGGUAAACUGUCGCUGCAGACCAUCAUGGUUCUUCGUGCUCCUCUGAGUUGUAGGACGUCUCAUCAGUGUCCGUCUUCCUGACUGGGUCGGUGUUUACCUUCAGGAUGUCUGGAGCAGGGAUCACAUGAGCUCAAUAUGCUGAUGAAACAUUUCUGAUUUAAAAAAUGUGUCUGAUGUUCUUAUAGAGUAGAAGUGCAUUAACAAUCUGUAGUUUUGAACUUCAAUAGUUUAAUUAUGAUUCACCUGAUGUCCAAGUUAUAUUGAGAACAAAUAAAGCUGUAUUCCAUCUAAUCUGACUGGUUCUAGUUCCAUGUUUUCACAUUUUGGUCACUAAGAAUUAUUCGGGGGGCUUAAAAGUUUAAACUUAGGGUCUUAUUUAUCACUAAUUGAGGUUACAGGUUUUGGACACAUUUUCUCUAUUUCUUACAUUGAAGAUUCUCCAGAAGACAGAAACACAGUGAGUGGAUAGAAUGAUGAUGUACACAGUAGAAAUGAAUAA